This is a long non-coding RNA of Cyprinodon tularosa, 418 nucleotides long. RefSeq lists it as uncharacterized. NCBI's taxonomy places the organism in Eukaryota, Metazoa, Chordata, Actinopteri, Cyprinodontiformes, Cyprinodontidae. The record is from RefSeq and is a predicted model, not a curated record. The transcript has 2 exons.
CAGAGGGAGGCGUUUAGGGGGAAUUGGACAAAGAUAUCUGAACCACUUCAGCUGACUCCUUUUGAUGUGGAGGAGAAACGCCUUUACAAUGAGCCCCUCAACCUAUCUCAAAGGGAGAGUCAAGCCACCCAGCAGAGAAACCUCAUUUUAGAGUCAUGAUCCGGAUUUCAUGACCAUAGCAGGGAUCACCAACCUUUUCCAGACUGAGGGCUACUUCAUAGGUACUGAGUCAUAGGAUGGGCCACCAAUACUGACCUAUGACCUGGAGGGAUCAGCGUUCACCUAAACUUUACAUAUAAUACGCAUAUUUUUAUUGUUUCUUUUAACUUCUAAUUUUCUUUAUAUUGUCAUUUUGAAAUCUCUAUAAAUACUCUGUAUGAAAAGAACAGUAACAAAAUAAAUUAAGAUUUCAAUCUUA